CGCGUAGGCGGUCUGUUAAGUGGGAUGUGAAAUCCCCGGGCUUAACCUGGGAAUUGCAUUUCAAACUGGCCGACUAGAGUACGGUAGAGGGAGGUAGAAUUUCCUGUGUAGCGGUGAAAUGCGUAGAUAUAGGAAGGAAUACCAGUGGCGAAGGCGGCCUCCUGGAUCGAUACUGACGCUGAGGCGCGAAAGCGUGGGGAAGCAAACA
This 208-nucleotide ribosomal RNA is filed under the name uncultured bacterium. Its description in RNAcentral is "partial 16S ribosomal RNA". It matches the Rfam family "Bacterial small subunit ribosomal RNA", at positions 568 to 774 of the family's 1533-position model. The record is from RNAcentral.